Molecule: ribosomal RNA, 468 nt
Filed under: uncultured bacterium
Lineage: Bacteria
Description: partial 16S ribosomal RNA
Rfam family: Bacterial small subunit ribosomal RNA
Source: RNAcentral
GACGAACGCUGGCGGCGUGCUUAACACAUGCAAGUCGAACGGAAAGGCCCUGCUUUUGUGGGGUGCUCGAGUGGCGAACGGGUGAGUAACACGUGAGUAACCUGCCCUUGACUUUGGGAUAACUUCAGGAAACUGGGGCUAAUACCGGUUAGGAGCUCCUGCUGCAUGGUGGGGGUUGGAAAGUUUCGGCGGUUGGGGAUGGACUCGCGGCUUAUCAGCUUGUUGGUGGGGUAGUGGCUUACCAAGGCUUUGACGGGUAGCCGGCCUGAGAGGGUGAACGGCCACAUUGGGACUGAGAUACGGCCCAGACUUCUACGGGAGGCAGCAGUGGGGAAUAUUGCACAAUGGGCGGAAGCCUGAUGCAGCAACGCCGCGUGCGGGAUGACGGCCUUCGGGUUGUAAACCGCUUUCGCCUGUGACGAAGCGUGAGUGACGGUAAUGGGUAAAGAAGCACCGGCUAACUACGUG